UAGGGAAUCUUCGGCAAUGACGAAAGUCUGACCGAGCAACGCCGCGUGAGUGAAGAAGGUUUUCGGAUCGUAAAACUCUGUUGUUAGAGAAGAACAAGGACGUUAGUAACUGAACGUCCCCUGACGGUAUCUAACCAGAAAGCCACGGCUAACUACGUGCCAGCAGCCGCGGUAAUACGUAGGUGGCAAGCGUUGUCCGGAUUUAUUGGGCGUAAAGCGAGCGCAGGCGGUUUCUUAAGUCUGAUGUGAAAGCCCCCGGCUCAACCGGGGAGGGUCAUUGGAAACUGGGAGACUUGAGUGCAGAAGAGGAGAGUGGAAUUCCAUGUGUAGCGGUGAAAUGCGUAGAUAUAUGGAGGAACACCAGUGGCGAAGGCGGCUCUCUGGUCUGUAACUGACGCUGAGGCUCGAAAGCGUGGGGAGCAAACAGG
Molecule: ribosomal RNA, 428 nt
Filed under: Gemmatimonadota bacterium
Lineage: Bacteria; Pseudomonadati; Gemmatimonadota
Description: Gemmatimonadetes bacterium partial 16S ribosomal RNA
Rfam family: Bacterial small subunit ribosomal RNA
Source: RNAcentral